GCGAGUGAACCGGGAAGAGCUCAAAUUUGAAAUCUGGCAGUCUUCGAUUGUCCGAGUUGUAAUCUAUAGAAGCGUUUUCCGUGCUGAACUGUGUAUAAGUCCCUUGGAACAGGGUAUCAAAGAGGGUGACAAUCCCGUACUUUACACAAUCAUCAGUGCUCUGUGAUACGUUCUCUACGAGUCGAGUUGUUUGGGAAUGCAGCUCAAAAUGGGUGGUAAAUUCCAUCUAAAGCUAAAUAUUGGCGAGAGACCGAUAGCGAACAAGUACCGUGAGGGAAAGAUGAAAAGCACUUUGGAAAGAGAGUUAAACAGUACGUGAAAUUGUUGAAAGGGAAACGAAAUUCAUGAAUCAUGUUUAUUGGACUCAGCCGUUCUUCGGUGUACUUCCUUUAAACGGGUCAACAUCAGUUUUGUCCGAUGGAUAAAGGUAGUAGGAAGGUGGCUCUCUCGGGAGUGUUAUAGCCUAUUGCUGCAUACAUUGGAUGAGACUGAGGACUGCAGCUUGCCUUUAUGGCCGGGGUUCGCCCACGUUCAAGCUUAGGAUGUUGACAUAUUCUCGAAUCACGACCC
This 570-nucleotide ribosomal RNA is filed under the name Apiotrichum porosum. RNAcentral's name for it is "eukaryotic LSU rRNA". It matches the Rfam family "Eukaryotic large subunit ribosomal RNA", at positions 89 to 650 of the family's 3401-position model. Lineage: Eukaryota; Fungi; Basidiomycota; Tremellomycetes; Trichosporonales; Trichosporonaceae. The record is from RNAcentral.